AUUGAACGCUGGCGGCAGGCCUAACACAUGCAAGUCGAGCGAGCGGCGGACGGGUGAGUAAUGUAUGGGGACUGCCCGAUAGAGGGGGAUAACUCCUGGAAACGGUAGCUCAUACCGCAUACUAUCGGAUAACCCAUAUGGGAUUAGCUAGUAGGUGGGGUAAUGGCUCACCUCGGCGCCGAUCCCUAGCUGGCCUGAGAGGAUGAUCAGCCACACGGGGACGGAGAAACGGCCCAGACUCCUACGGAGGAAGCAGUGGGGAAUAUUGCACAAUGGGCGCAAGCCUGAUGCAGCCAGGCGGCGUGUAUGAAGAAGGCCCUAGGGUUGUAAAGUACUUUCAGGCGGGAGGCGUUACCGACAGAAGAAGCACCGGCUAACUCCGGGCCAGCAGCCGCGGUAAUUC
This 403-nucleotide ribosomal RNA is filed under the name uncultured bacterium. RNAcentral describes it as "partial 16S ribosomal RNA". It matches the Rfam family "Bacterial small subunit ribosomal RNA", at positions 29 to 526 of the family's 1533-position model. The record is from RNAcentral.